CCGAGUUUACAACUCCCAAACCCCUGUGAACAUACCAAUUGUUGCCUCGGCGGAUCAGCCCGCUCCCGGUAAAACGGACGGCCCGCCAGAGGACCCCUAAACUCUGUUUCUAUAUGUAACCUCUGAGUAAAACCAUAAAUAAAUCA
RNAcentral lists this unclassified non-coding RNA (146 nucleotides) under soil metagenome. Its description in RNAcentral is "partial internal transcribed spacer 1". The record is from RNAcentral.